UACGUAGGGUGCGAGCGUUGUCCGGAAUUAUUGGGCGUAAAGAGCUUGUAGGCGGUCUGUCGCGUCUGCUGUGAAAAUCCGGGGCUCAACCCCGGACUUGCAGUGGGUACGGGCAGACUAGAGUGUGGUAGGGGAGACUGGAAUUCCUGGUGUAGCGGUGAAAUGCGCAGAUAUCAUGAGGAACACCGAUGGCGAAGGCAGGUCUCUGGGCCACGACUGACGCUGAGAAGCGAAAGCAUGGGGAGCGAACAGG
Molecule: ribosomal RNA, 253 nt
Filed under: uncultured bacterium
Lineage: Bacteria
Description: partial 16S ribosomal RNA
Rfam family: Bacterial small subunit ribosomal RNA
Source: RNAcentral